This 406-nucleotide ribosomal RNA is filed under the name uncultured bacterium. Its description in RNAcentral is "partial 16S ribosomal RNA". It matches the Rfam family "Bacterial small subunit ribosomal RNA", at positions 30 to 526 of the family's 1533-position model. The record is from RNAcentral.
AUUGAACGCUGGCGGCAGGCCUAACACAUGCAAGUCGAACGAGUGGCGGACGGGUGAGUAGUGUCUGGGAAACUGCCUGAUGGAGGGGGAUAACUACUAGAAACGGUAGCUAAUACCACAUACCAUCGGAUGUGCCCAUAUGGGAUUAGCUUUUAGGUGGGGGAAAGGCUCACCUAGGCGACAAUCCCUAGCGGGGCUGAGAGGAUGACUAGCCACACUGGAACUGUGACACGGUCCAGACUCCUACGGGAGGCAGCAGUGGGGAAUAUUGCACAAGGGGCGCAAGCCUGAUGCAGCCAUGCCGCGUGUAUGAAGAAGGCCUUCGGGUUGUAAAGCACUUUCAGCGGGGAGGCGUUACCCGCAGAAGAAGCACCGGCUAACUCCGUGCCAGCCGCCGCGGUAAUAC